RNAcentral lists this ribosomal RNA (273 nucleotides) under uncultured bacterium. RNAcentral describes it as "partial 16S ribosomal RNA". It matches the Rfam family "Bacterial small subunit ribosomal RNA", at positions 524 to 796 of the family's 1533-position model. The record is from RNAcentral.
UACAGAGAGUGCGAACGUUGUUCGGAAUUACUGGGCUUAAAGCGCACGUAGGCGGCAUCGCAAGUGUCCGGUGAAAUCCCACGGCUCACCCGUGGAACUGCCUGGCAGACUGCGAUGCUCGAGUGUGGUAGGGGAGAGCGGAACUCCUGGUGGAGCGGUGAAAUGCGUAGAUAUCAGGAGGAACACCGGUGGCGAAGGCGGCUCUCUGGUCCACAACUGACGCUGAGGUGCGAAAGCUAGGGGAGCAAACGGGAUUAGAUACCCGCGUAGUCC